AAACGAGGUACGGUACUAUCCGAAUCAGGUAUGUCACCUUGUGAAACCAAUUUUCAGUUACUCAGCUUUGGAAAUAGAUUUACCUAUUUUCCUGGGUCGCUUUUUCCCCGUAUCUAAAUGAAUACCUGAAUCACAUGCCUGUGGGCAACCUGUUCCUAGCUUAGUUCUGCUUGUGGUCUUCUUGGGAAGAAUUAAUAAUUUUAUUGACUUAAGGCCUAGAAAAACUAAUUUUUUGGCUCUUACUGUGCUAGGUGUUUUACAGAAAGGCAGAUUUGCAGCUAAAUUGUUGUCCUAUCAGUCCUUUCAUGGUGGUAGGCAGUUGUAGGUAGACGUUGUGUUCCAGUUCAAGCAUUGGUUUGGCUGAUCUCUGAAUAACAAGGUUAUAAAGUAGUUGGAGUUUGCAUCUCUAUAUUUCCUUCAGGUAAAUGAUUUCCUUCUCAGGCAUCCUAUAUGGGAAUUCAGUCAGGGUAUUCUUUGCAGCAUGUUUAUAGUGACAGAAAUCUAAUUAGAGAGCAGAAAAAUGUGUGAAAAUUUUUAGAAAGCGUGUUUGCAUUCCAUUAAUUAAUUCUGUUAAUGGGUGCUGCAGCAGAGACAUGGGCUCAUUGUGCUAGUCUGUACCCAGAGACAUGAAGAAACAGUCUGUGCCCAGAGAAUUACAGUCAAGGCAAUGAAUGGAAAAGAAAAUAAUAUUUACUCCUGGUGUAGUUCUGUUGGAUUUGGAGAAGUAAACUGUUUUUUGUUGUUGAGGUUUUAGGGAGGAUUUUGAGAAGAUUCAUAGCUCUGCACAUCAGAAACGUUACCGCUCUCUGUGUCUAUACUUGUUUAGGCCUUACACAAUUUAUGGACCGUAUCAUUGCUCUCCUUUGAAGGUGCCACAGCCAUCAGAAAGGAACAGAAGGAGUUGUUAAAGGUUCACUAAGCCACACAACCGUUCCCAUAGCAUGGGACACCUUUGCUGAUGUAAUGAUAUUCAUGAAAGGACCAAAGCACAAAGAAAGGGAAUCUAAUAAAUACCUGAACUUCAGAAGGCAGAAUAUCACAGCAGGUCAUUUUUCUAAAUUAUUUAAGCACAGUGUUUGCUAUGCGCUUCUACCAUUUCUCAGAACUCGAAAGCUGGGUUAAGAGAAGGGAUUAGGGAAGAUCCUUCCCACAUCAAGUUCAAGGGAAUGUCAAUUAAUCCACGGUUAAUAAAUGACAACAAGAGCAGCA
This 1209-nucleotide long non-coding RNA is filed under the name Anas platyrhynchos platyrhynchos (common mallard). RNAcentral describes it as "lncRNA (ENSAPLG00000024590.1)". Lineage: Eukaryota; Metazoa; Chordata; Aves; Anseriformes; Anatidae. The record is from RNAcentral.